CAGCCGCCGCGGUAAUACGAAGGGGGCUAGCGUUGUUCGGAUUUACUGGGCGUAAAGGGCGCGUAGGCGGACUGAUAAGUCAGGGGUGAAAUCCCAAGGCUCAACCUUGGAACUGCCUUUGAUACUGUUUGUCUUGAGUUCGAGAGAGGUAAGUGGAACUGCGAGUGUAGAGGUGAAAUUCGUAGAUAUUCGCAAGAACACCAGUGGCGAAGGCGGCUUACUGGCUCGAAACUGACGCUGAGGCGCGAAAGCGUGGGGAGCAAACAGGAUUAGAGACCCGUGUAGUCCCUGUCUCUUAUAC
Molecule: ribosomal RNA, 301 nt
Filed under: uncultured bacterium
Lineage: Bacteria
Description: partial 16S ribosomal RNA
Rfam family: Bacterial small subunit ribosomal RNA
Source: RNAcentral